GGGUUGUGAGGUUAAGCGACUAAGCGUACACGGUGGAUGCCCUGGCAGUCAGAGGCGAUGAAGGACGUGCUAAUCUGCGAUAAGCGUCGGUAAGGUGAUAUGAACCGUUAUAACCGGCGAUUUCCGAAUGGGGAAACCCAGUGUGAUUCGUCACACUAUCAUUAACUGAAUCCAUAGGUUAAUGAGGCGAACCGGGGGAACUGAAACAUCUAAGUACCCCGAGGAAAAGAAAUCAACCGAGAUUCCCCCAGUAGCGGCGAGCGAACGGGGAGGAGCCCAGAGCCUGAAUCAGUGUGUGUGUUAGUGGAAGCGUCUGGAAAGGCGCGCGAUACAGGGUGACAGCCCCGUACACAAAAAUGCACAUGCUGUGAGCUCGAUGAGUAGGGCGGGACACGUGGUAUCCUGUCUGAAUAUGGGGGGACCAUCCUCCAAGGCUAAAUACUCCUGACUGACCGAUAGUGAACCAGUACCGUGAGGGAAAGGCGAAAAGAACCCCGGCGAGGGGAGUGAAAAAGAACCUGAAACCGUGUACGUACAAGCAGUGGGAGCCUCUUAAUGGGGUGACUGCGUACCUUUUGUAUAAUGGGUCAGCGACUUAUAUUCUGUAGCAAGGUUAACCGAAUAGGGGAGCCGAAGGGAAACCGAGUCUUAACUGGGCGUUAAGUUGCAGGGUAUAGACCCGAAACCCGGUGAUCUAGCCAUGGGCAGGUUGAAGGUUGGGUAACACUAACUGGAGGACCGAACCGACUAAUGUUGAAAAAUUAGCGGAUGACUUGUGGCUGGGGGUGAAAGGCCAAUCAAACCGGGAGAUAGCUGGUUCUCCCCGAAAGCUAUUUAGGUAGCGCCUCGUGAAUUCAUCUCCGGGGGUAGAGCACUGUUUCGGCAAGGGGGUCAUCCCGACUUACCAACCCGAUGCAAACUGCGAAUACCGGAGAAUGUUAUCACGGGAGACACACGGCGGGUGCUAACGUCCGUCGUGAAGAGGGAAACAACCCAGACCGCCAGCUAAGGUCCCAAAGUCAUGGUUAAGUGGGAAACGAUGUGGGAAGGCCCAGACAGCCAGGAUGUUGGCUUAGAAGCAGCCAUCAUUUAAAGAAAGCGUAAUAGCUCACUGGUCGAGUCGGCCUGCGCGGAAGAUGUAACGGGGCUAAACCAUGCACCGAAGCUGCGGCAGCGACACUAUGUGUUGUUGGGUAGGGGAGCGUUCUGUAAGCCUGUGAAGGUGGCCUGUGAGGGUUGCUGGAGGUAUCAGAAGUGCGAAUGCUGACAUAAGUAACGAUAAAGCGGGUGAAAAGCCCGCUCGCCGGAAGACCAAGGGUUCCUGUCCAACGUUAAUCGGGGCAGGGUGAGUCGACCCCUAAGGCGAGGCCGAAAGGCGUAGUCGAUGGGAAACAGGUUAAUAUUCCUGUACUUGGUGUUACUGCGAAGGGGGGACGGAGAAGGCUAUGUUGGCCGGGCGACGGUUGUCCCGGUUUAAGCGUGUAGGCUGGUUUUCCAGGCAAAUCCGGAAAACCAAGGCUGAGGCGUGAUGACGAGGCACUACGGUGCUGAAGUGACAAAUGCCCUGCUUCCAGGAAAAGCCUCUAAGCAUCAGGUAACAUCAAAUCGUACCCCAAACCGACACAGGUGGUCAGGUAGAGAAUACCAAGGCGCUUGAGAGAACUCGGGUGAAGGAACUAGGCAAAAUGGUGCCGUAACUUCGGGAGAAGGCACGCUGAUAUGUAGGUGAAGCGACUUGCUCGUGGAGCUGAAAUCAGUCGAAGAUACCAGCUGGCUGCAACUGUUUAUUAAAAACACAGCACUGUGCAAACACGAAAGUGGACGUAUACGGUGUGACGCCUGCCCGGUGCCGG
This 1853-nucleotide ribosomal RNA is filed under the name Escherichia coli. RNAcentral describes it as "partial 23S ribosomal RNA". It matches the Rfam family "Bacterial large subunit ribosomal RNA", at positions 1 to 1872 of the family's 2925-position model. The record is from RNAcentral. Lineage: Bacteria; Pseudomonadati; Pseudomonadota; Gammaproteobacteria; Enterobacterales; Enterobacteriaceae.